GCGCAGCAGCUGCGAAAAUUCCACAAUGCGCGAAAGCGUGAUGGAGUUAUCCCGAGUGUCACCUGCUGAGGGUGGCUUUUCUCCAGUCUUAACAGCUGGAGGAAUAAGGAGAGGGCAAGUCUGGUGUCAGCCGCCGCGGUAAUACCAGCUCUCCGAGUGGUAGGGAUGAUUAUUGGGCUUAAAGCGUCCGUAGCUGGCCUUUCAAGUCUCUUGUUAAAUCCAGCGAUUCAAUCGUUGGACUGCGGGAGAUACUGUUAGGCUAGGGGGCGGGAGAAGCCGACGGUAUUUCCGGGGUAGGGGUAAAAUCCUAUAAUCCCGGGAAGACCACCAGUGGCGUAGGCGGUCGGCUAGCACGCGCUCGACAGUGAGGGACGAAAGCUGGGGUAGCGAACCGGAUUAGAUACCCGGGUAGUCC
Molecule: ribosomal RNA, 415 nt
Filed under: uncultured crenarchaeote
Lineage: Archaea; Thermoproteati; Thermoproteota
Description: partial 16S ribosomal RNA
Rfam family: Archaeal small subunit ribosomal RNA
Source: RNAcentral